Molecule: small nucleolar RNA, 102 nt
Organism: Nycticebus coucang (slow loris)
Lineage: Eukaryota; Metazoa; Chordata; Mammalia; Primates; Lorisidae
Product: small nucleolar RNA U13
Exons: 1
Source: RefSeq, a predicted model, not a curated record
ACUAUUUUGUGGUUCCUAAAGCAUGACUGGGUGUUCAUGUGCAGGUGUGAGAUGUGCCUCCCUCAAACCUUAUUAUGAUAUGGGCACAAUACCUAUCUGAUU